UUUAUAUAGUUUGUGGUCCGCAGCAGGUCAGUGAAAAGAUCGUAUUGAUUGGCCAUGCCACGGAGACCACUCACCAGCUGCAAACAAAUAGCCAAGCAAGAAAAGCAAAGUUAGAAAUCACACAUCAGAAUGACAAUCAAAAAGCACAAAAGCAGUUUACCGUUUCCACCAUCUCGAACAUCUGGGCUGAAGGCAUGACAGUGGGCAAGCCG
This 212-nucleotide long non-coding RNA is filed under the name Vitis vinifera (wine grape). RNAcentral describes it as "long non-coding RNA (VVIN_LNC000383)". The record is from RNAcentral. Lineage: Eukaryota; Viridiplantae; Streptophyta; Magnoliopsida; Vitales; Vitaceae.